This 73-nucleotide transfer RNA is filed under the name Castellaniella defragrans 65Phen. It matches the Rfam family "tRNA". Rfam says of the family: Transfer RNA (tRNA) molecules are approximately 80 nucleotides in length. Lineage: Bacteria; Pseudomonadati; Pseudomonadota; Betaproteobacteria; Burkholderiales; Alcaligenaceae. The record is from Rfam by way of RNAcentral.
GGGUCGUUAGCUCAGUCGGUAGAGCACCGGACUUUUAAUCCGUUGGUCGCGCGUUCGAGCCGCGCACGACCCA